GACAGCAGCAGCCACGGUAAUACAGAGGGUGCAAGCGUUAAUCGGAAUUACUGGGCGUAAAGCGCGCGUAGGUGGUUUGUUAAGUUGGAUGUGAAAUCCCCGGGCUCAACCUGGGAACUGCAUUCAAAACUGACUGACUGGAGUAUGGUAGAGGGUGGUGGAAUUUCCUGUGUAGCGGUGAAGUGCGUAGAUAUAGGAAGGAACACCAGUGGCGAAGGCGACCACCUGGACUAAUACUGACACUGAGGUGCGAAAGCGUGGGGAGCAAACAGGAUUAGAUACCCCGGUAGUCCCUGUCUCUUAUAC
Molecule: ribosomal RNA, 306 nt
Filed under: uncultured bacterium
Lineage: Bacteria
Description: partial 16S ribosomal RNA
Rfam family: Bacterial small subunit ribosomal RNA
Source: RNAcentral